This is a long non-coding RNA of Arabidopsis thaliana (thale cress), 327 nucleotides long. RefSeq annotates it as other RNA. NCBI's taxonomy places the organism in Eukaryota, Viridiplantae, Streptophyta, Magnoliopsida, Brassicales, Brassicaceae. The record is from RefSeq. The transcript has a single exon.
GGAAACUACUAUUACUAUGACAUAGAACAACCUAUUGAUCAUGUCACACAAAUAUCAAAACAAUGCUCAUGAUCAAAAUUUCAUUUAGAGAGCACCAAGAACCACCCUACACAACAACACACAUAUCCCCUACAAAUCUAAGUCUUUUAUCUCACAAGGUCAAGAAAACCCAAUCAGCUCAUAACAAAGUGAAUCACAACAGAGCAAACAUAAUCCAGACGAUGAAAGACACUACAACAAAACCUUUCCAUCAAAUGGAGACCCUACGACGACAACGAUAAGACGAGAACUAUUGAUUGAAGUCAUGAAAAGUCGAAUUCCUAAAAA